Molecule: long non-coding RNA, 1423 nt
Organism: Stegodyphus dumicola
Lineage: Eukaryota; Metazoa; Arthropoda; Arachnida; Araneae; Eresidae
Source: RefSeq, a predicted model, not a curated record
GGUGAACUGCAAUAUUUUUGGUCUUUAGUUGAAUUUUGAAACAUGCCUUUGUGAGUUUUGCCUUCAAGCGAAGAAAUUUCUGUGAAAUAUUUGCAGGAAUAAAAAUGUUUUGCCACAAAGUACAGAUUCGCGUUUGAUGAUGUAGUGUUUUGGAAAACAAACUUUUUAGAAUUUGAAAAAGUUGCACCGCACACGUCGGCAUGCGAAGCGGUAGUUGGUUUCGAGAAUAGUCGUCUGCCAUUUAUUACAGUAUUCAGAUUUAUAUACCACUGGAGCAAGUAUAAAUAAUUGCACGCUGGAGUUCAAAUUCGUAAAUUCGCAAAAACAGAUUUCUUUGCUUGAGAGACUUUGGGAGAAGAACAGCGCCAAAACAAACUUUACAGAAAGAUUUGGAGAGGAAUUGAAUGGAUUUUCAAGAUAGACUAACGGAAUACGAAAGGAAGAGAAGCAUGUUCUAAGGCAGCCCUUUAGAAGGAUAAAGAUUCUAAGCACACGGCUCUCAAAGUUUGGCUUUUGGAUCCUAUAUGUGCAGAUUUGUUUAAAGUGUAUGCAGACUUUUGUGAGGUGACUUUUCUGUUACUUUAAACUUUUUUAAGGAAUACCAAAAAUAAAAAACUUGUUUAUAAAAAAAUAAUUAAUGUAGUUUUACCAAGAGAACGUUAUAGAUAUGAUUAAAAAGAUCUUCACUCUAAAAUAAUAAUUUUUAUUAAGAAAUAAAGCAGUGUUUCACAGAAACUCUUAAGUGAACGAACACUUUUGUGAGCCACUGUAGGGAGUUCCUAUUUUGCUAAGCUUAUUUGUAAAGUUGAGACUAGAAAAUUACUUGAUGUGCAAAGAAUCUGAAUAUAAGUUAAUGGAAGAAAUUAAUAAAUUAAAAAACAUGUAUGAGAUUUUUUAUCAUAUUUCAAAAACGUCAAUUAUUCCUUUUCAAUGCUUUAGAAUUGAAAAGGAAUAAUUGACUAGGAAAAGGAUAAUAGAAUGCCCAAUUAAAAUGCAAUAUUAGAAAAUUUAUAUAAUAAAAAGAAUAGUCAAUAUAGUUUUUUAUAGUUCUGUAAUUUGUAUGUUACCAUAAAUUAUACUUUUUUUAUAAAUUAUAUGCUGAAUGAAAUUGAAGCGAAAAUUAUGCAGUCAGAAGAAAUGAUAUAAGUUACCUAGUUAUAGUAUAGUUAGAAAUGAUAUACAAGGUGUGUUCGAAAAGUUCAGUGAAUUUUACCAUAAAAAAAAAAGAAACAAGCAAAAUAGCUUUUAGCUUUCAAAGUGUUCGCUAUUAGCAACAACACGCUUUUGACAUCGGGUGUACGAUUGUUGGAAACUGUCUGGAAACGCUUCUUUCGGUAUGGCUCGAAGCACCGUUGUUAGAUCUCAGUAAUGUCAGAAAAGUGUUAGCCUUUCAGAACUCCUUUGAAACAGUAGGUCUGGGGUA